CCUGGGGCUGAAGUAGGUCCCAAGGGUAUGGCUGUUCGCCAUUUAAAGUGGUACGCGAGCUGGGUUUAGAACGUCGUGAGACAGUUCGGUCCCUAUCUGCCGUGGGCGCUGGAGAAUUGAGGGGGGCUGCUCCUAGUACGAGAGGACCGGAGUGGACGCAUCACUGGUGUUCGGGUUGUCAUGCCAAUGGCACUGCCCGGUAGCUAAAUGCGGAAGAGAUAAGUGCUGAAAGCAUCUAAGCACGAAACUUGCCCCGAGAUGAGUUCUCCCUGAGACUWUAAGUCUCCUGAAGGAACGUUGAAGACGACGACGUUGAUAGGUCGGGUGUGUAAGCGCAGCGAUGCGUUGAGCUAACCGAUACUAAUGAACCGUGAGGCUUAACCUU
Molecule: ribosomal RNA, 385 nt
Filed under: Enterobacter kobei
Lineage: Bacteria; Pseudomonadati; Pseudomonadota; Gammaproteobacteria; Enterobacterales; Enterobacteriaceae
Description: partial 23S ribosomal RNA
Source: RNAcentral